UAGUACCAACUAAGAAAUAAUAAUUAUCCUUAAUGCUAAGAGUAUUCGGCAAUUCAGUGAGUAAAACUGAGUAUGCAGCUCCGUUUAAAUCAAAUGUUAUGAUCUCGCCUAGCUUAAGUUCACCUUUCAACUCUGUGUCACAUUUUUGACACAUUGUGUUAACACAAAGAAAUUUUAAUCUAUUUGUGACUUUGAUUUUUAUAAAGUAUGCACUCUCCCUAAAAAAAUAAGACGUGAAUAACGAAAAUUUCGAAUAUGUGAAAAUGCAUGGACACCCUACUCUCAUACAGUUUCAUACCACUGUGUUUUUGUAAAUAUCUCCUAAAAUACGAAUGCUGCAGUUAAAUUCGCUAUAUUUAUUCAAACUAGGUUACGUUACCCAUCGACUAGUACUUUAAUUAAGCUAAAACCUACUUUUAAUAACGAGAAAAACGAAAUUGUAUUUUAGGCAUAUUGCCGUCCGCGCGGCCAACUAAAAUCGACUCUAACAUAUUAUUGAACCUGCUUUCUAGUAUUUUUUUGUCUUUUUUCGCUGUAACAAAUUAAAGACUAAUUUUCUAUACA
Molecule: long non-coding RNA, 564 nt
Organism: Helicoverpa armigera (cotton bollworm)
Lineage: Eukaryota; Metazoa; Arthropoda; Insecta; Lepidoptera; Noctuidae
Exons: 2
Source: RefSeq, a predicted model, not a curated record